UCCACCGGCGAGUCUCCAUUCUACCUGAUGUUCGGGCAAGAACCCAGGCUGCCGGUUGAUUUUCUCUUGGGUAGAGUCUUAGACCCUGUGGGUGGCGAGGUCCACGAGUGGAUCCAAGAACAUCAAAACCGGCUCCAGCUUGCUUUUGACGGGGCCCGGGAAAGGUUGAAGGUGGCGGCAGAGCGCAGAAGGAGGAAUCAUGAUAAUCAUGUUCGGGAUGACCCACUAAAGGUGGGGCAGUUGGUGUGGCUGCGCGAUCAUAGUGCAAGGGGGCGCCACAAGAUACAGGAUCUGUGGGGCCCUGUGGUGUACAGAGUCGUAAAGGCACCCCGAGAAGGUGGUCCAGUGUACACCAUCGCACCGAUGGACGACCAAACCAAAGUUCGGCAGGUCCAUCGAACACUGUUGAAAGCCGUUGCCGGAGCUGCCCCUCAGGGUAGUGCAUUGCCCCCUUGUCCACCCCCUCUUGACCGGCCUCGGUCAGAGGAUGAGUUGCCGUUUGACGGAGACUUGUUUAUGUUGGGGCCGGAGACCCCUGUUUCUGCCCCUGCUCGCACAGCCGUGGUGACUCAAACCACCCCUCGGUUGCUGCUCCCACCACCUGACUCUGCUGGGUCAGAGUCGUCAAGCGCUCCCUCGACUGCAGUGGCAGAUCCACCCUCCAUUUCCCUGGCCGUUCCAUCCGCCAGUUAUGCGGCUGAAAGUGAAGUACGCCGGUCAGCCAGGUCGACGGCUGGCCAGCACCCAAACCUCUAUCAUCUUCCGCGACCUGUAGGGAACUUGGCAUCUGGGGCUGCAAAUCCCCCUGGUCCAGUGUCAAAUGCCGUUACUGCGCUCUUUAGGCCGUGGAGUUAGUUGGGUGAUCCUCUGGAUCAGUUGUUCCAUCGUCGGGACGACGAUGAAGUCAAUGGGGGUAGAAUGUAGCAGGAUGGGCCUUUAAUUAGUGCUGCAGUACCGGCCUAUCACUGUUGGGUGCGCUGCCUAUAAAGGUGGGUGGUUGUGCACUGGGAGCACUCUUGCCUGGGAGCUCCUGGCUACCCCGCCCCCUGUUGUCACCGAAACCUGAUCGCCUCACCUGAUCGCCUUUUAGUUGGAUCGUGCAGCUCGCCGUUGUUUGGCAGUUUAUUGGCCGGGUCUUCCCUCUCCCGUAUCGACCCCAGUUGUAGGGCGUGCGAGUGUUUCCUCCUCUACCUGUUGCAGCGGGGAGCGAUCAGCUGUAGAUCGAGUUGCACUUGUAAUGGUGUUGCUCGCUACAGGUGGUCCCCUUCCUCCCCUUGAUGUUCAUUCAACUCCUGACGGGUUGACGUGUGUGUGGGCGGUUUCUGCCAGCACGUCCCCCCCCCUCUUCACGCUGCUGUUGGCCGGCUGCCGUUUUGUCCACUGAUUAUAUAGCCAACACAUCGAUCCUACUCUGCAUCUCCUACUGUGCUGUACCUGCCCCGAGUAUGGUGAUUGCUGCCUCACCCUAAGUCUCAUUAUUUUGAUCCAUUCAUUUAACAGACUUCCAACUGAUCUUAUUGAUGAUAUUAUUUGUGUUUUGUGGGUUGCUUUGCAUGUUUGUUUUGGCUUAAUUGCUUUACUUAUCCAUGAUAUUAUUUGUGUUUUGUGGGUUGCUUUGCAUGGUUGUUUUGGUUUAAUUCGUUUUCUUAGUUAUUUUGGUUUGGUUUAAUUGCUUUACUUAUUCAUUUGGAUUUAUCAGUUUGGAUAAAUCUCCUUUACUUUUGAUUUAAAACCCAUUUAGUUAUUUGCUCUUCCCUU
Molecule: long non-coding RNA, 1758 nt
Organism: Gadus chalcogrammus (walleye pollock)
Lineage: Eukaryota; Metazoa; Chordata; Actinopteri; Gadiformes; Gadidae
Exons: 3
Source: RefSeq, a predicted model, not a curated record